GCGUCCAUAGCUCAGCUGGAUAGAGCAACGCCCUUCUAAGGCGUAGGCCAGAGGUUCGAAUCCUCUUGGGCGUACCA
RNAcentral lists this transfer RNA (77 nucleotides) under Campylobacter fetus subsp. fetus. RNAcentral's name for it is "tRNA-Arg(tct)". It matches the Rfam family "tRNA". Rfam says of the family: Transfer RNA (tRNA) molecules are approximately 80 nucleotides in length. Lineage: Bacteria; Pseudomonadati; Campylobacterota; Epsilonproteobacteria; Campylobacterales; Campylobacteraceae. The record is from RNAcentral. RNAcentral also lists the same sequence under 2 other names.